UCGAGAAUCUUCGGCAAUGCGCGCAAGCGUGACCGAGCGACGCCGCGUGUGGGAUGAAGGCCUUCGGGUUGUAAACCACUGUCAGUUGGGAGGAAAUCCAUAGGGGCUAUCCCCUAUGGUUGACCUAUCAUCAGAGGAAGGACGGGCUAAGUUCGUGCCAGCAGCCGCGGUAAGACGAACCGUCCAAACGUUAUUCGGAAUCACUGGGCUUAAAGGGUGCGUAGGCGGCUUGGCAAGUUGGGUGUGAAAGCCCUCGGCUCAACCGAGGAAUUGCGCCCAAAACUGCCUUGAUAGAGUGAGAUAGAGGUGAGCGGAACUUAUGGUGGAGCGGUGAAAUGCGUUGAUAUCAUAAGGAACGCCAGUGGCGAAAGCGGCUCACUGGAUCUCUACUGACGCUGAGGCACGAAAGCUAGGGUAGCGAACAGGAUUAGAUACCCGUGUAGUCC
RNAcentral lists this ribosomal RNA (446 nucleotides) under uncultured prokaryote. Its description in RNAcentral is "bacterial SSU rRNA". It matches the Rfam family "Bacterial small subunit ribosomal RNA", at positions 355 to 796 of the family's 1533-position model. The record is from RNAcentral.